GGGCCGGUAGCUCAGCCUGGAAGAGCACCUGCCUUGCACGCAGGGGGUCGCGGGUUCAAAUCCCGCCCGGUCCACCA
The sequence is a transfer RNA, 77 nucleotides long. It matches the Rfam family "tRNA". Rfam says of the family: Transfer RNA (tRNA) molecules are approximately 80 nucleotides in length. Their secondary structure includes four short double-helical elements and three loops (D, anti-codon, and T loops).